UAUCUCUGGUCUUUGCUUAAGCACAUCCUGUGUGUGGUUUGCGUGCUUUCAGAGAGAGAGGAAGGCCCUUCCAAUGCAUGACAGAC
Capra hircus (goat) is the source of this 86-nucleotide small nucleolar RNA. Lineage: Eukaryota; Metazoa; Chordata; Mammalia; Artiodactyla; Bovidae. The record is from Ensembl.